UUAAGCGACUAAGCGUACACGGUGGAUGCCCUGGCAGUCAGAGGCGAUGAAGGACGUGCUAAUCUGCGAUAAGCGUCGGUAAGGUGAUAUGAACCGUUAUAACCGGCGAUUUCCGAAUGGGGAAACCCAGUGUGAUUCGUCACACUAUCAUUAACUGAAUCCAUAGGUUAAUGAGGCGAACCGGGGGAACUGAAACAUCUAAGUACCCCGAGGAAAAGAAAUCAACCGAGAUUCCCCCAGUAGCGGCGAGCGAACGGGGAGGAGCCCAGAGCCUGAAUCAGUGUGUGUGUUAGUGGAAGCGUCUGGAAAGGCGCGCGAUACAGGGUGACAGCCCCGUACACAAAAAUGCACAUGCUGUGAGCUCGAUGAGUAGGGCGGGACACGUGGUAUCCUGUCUGAAUAUGGGGGGACCAUCCUCCAAGGCUAAAUACUCCUGACUGACCGAUAGUGAACCAGUACCGUGAGGGAAAGGCGAAAAGAACCCCGGCGAGGGGAGUGAAAAAGAACCUGAAACCGUGUACGUACAAGCAGUGGGAGCCUCUUUUAUGGGGUGACUGCGUACCUUUUGUAUAAUGGGUCAGCGACUUAUAUUCUGUAGCAAGGUUAACCGAAUAGGGGAGCCGAAGGGAAACCGAGUCUUAACUGGGCGUUAAGUUGCAGGGUAUAGACCCGAAACCCGGUGAUCUAGCCAUGGGCAGGUUGAAGGUUGGGUAACACUAACUGGAGGACCGAACCGACUAAUGUUGAAAAAUUAGCGGAUGACUUGUGGCUGGGGGUGAAAGGCCAAUCAAACCGGGAGAUAGCUGGUUCUCCCCGAAAGCUAUUUAGGUAGCGCCUCGUGAAUUCAUCUCCGGGGGUAGAGCACUGUUUCGGCAAGGGGGUCAUCCCGACUUACCAACCCGAUGCAAACUGCGAAUACCGGAGAAUGUUAUCACGGGAGACACACGGCGGGUGCUAACGUCCGUCGUGAAGAGGGAAACAACCCAGACCGCCAGCUAAGGUCCCAAAGUCAUGGUUAAGUGGGAAACGAUGUGGGAAGGCCCAGACAGCCAGGAUGUUGGCUUAGAAGCAGCCAUCAUUUAAAGAAAGCGUAAUAGCUCACUGGUCGAGUCGGCCUGCGCGGAAGAUGUAACGGGGCUAAACCAUGCACCGAAGCUGCGGCAGCGACACUAUGUGUUGUUGGGUAGGGGAGCGUUCUGUAAGCCUGCGAAGGUGUACUGUGAGGUAUGCUGGAGGUAUCAGAAGUGCGAAUGCUGACAUAAGUAACGAUAAAGCGGGUGAAAAGCCCGCUCGCCGGAAGACCAAGGGUUCCUGUCCAACGUUAAUCGGGGCAGGGUGAGUCGACCCCUAAGGCGAGGCCGAAAGGCGUAGUCGAUGGGAAACAGGUUAAUAUUCCUGUACUUGGUGUUACUGCGAAGGGGGGACGGAGAAGGCUAUGUUGGCCGGGCGACGGUUGUCCCGGUUUAAGCGUGUAGGCUGGUUUUCCAGGCAAAUCCGGAAAAUCAAGGCUGAGGCGUGAUGACGAGGCACUACGGUGCUGAAGCGACAAAUGCCCUGCUUCCAGGAAAAGCCUCUAAGCAUCAGGUAACAUUAAAUCGUACCCCAAACCGACACAGGUGGUCAGGUAGAGAAUACCAAGGCGCUUGAGAGAACUCGGGUGAAGGAACUAGGCAAAAUGGUGCCGUAACUUCGGGAGAAGGCACGCUGAUAUGUAGGUGAAGCGACUUGCUCGUGGAGCUGAAAUCAGUCGAAGAUACCAGCUGGCUGCAACUGUUUAUUAAAAACACAGCACUGUGCAAACACGAAAGUGGACGUAUACGGUGUGACGCCUGCCCGGUGCCGGAAGGUUAAUUGAUGGGGUUAGCGGCAACGCGAAGCUCUUGAUCGAAGCCCCGGUAAACGGCGGCCGUAACUAUAACGGUCCUAAGGUAGCGAAAUUCCUUGUCGGGUAAGUUCCGACCUGCACGAAUGGCGUAAUGAUGGCCAGGCUGUCUCCACCCGAGACUCAGUGAAAUUGAACUCGCUGUGAAGAUGCAGUGUACCCGCGGCAAGACGGAAAGACCCCGUGAACCUUUACUAUAGCUUGACACUGAACAUUGAGCCUUGAUGUGUAGGAUAGGUGGGAGGCUUUGAAGUGUGGACGCCAGUCUGCAUGGAGCCGACCUUGAAAUACCACCCUUUAAUGUUUGAUGUUCUAACGUGGGCCCGUAAUCCGGGUUGCGGACAGUGUCUGGUGGGUAGUUUGACUGGGGCGGUCUCCUCCUAAAGAGUAACGGAGGAGCACGAAGGUUGGCUAAUCCUGGUCGGACAUCAGGAGGUUAGUGCAAUGGCAUAAGCCAGCUUGACUGCGAGCGUGACGGCGCGAGCAGGUGCGAAAGCAGGUCAUAGUGAUCCGGUGGUUCUGAAUGGAAGGGCCAUCGCUCAACGGAUAAAAGGUACUCCGGGGAUAACAGGCUGAUACCGCCCAAGAGUUCAUAUCGACGGCGGUGUUUGGCACCUCGAUGUCGGCUCAUCACAUCCUGGGGCUGAAGUAGGUCCCAAGGGUAUGGCUGUUCGCCAUUUAAAGUGGUACGCGAGCUGGGUUUAGAACGUCGUGAGACAGUUCGGUCCCUAUCUGCCGUGGGCGCUGGAGAACUGAGGGGGGCUGCUCCUAGUACGAGAGGACCGGAGUGGACGCAUCACUGGUGUUCGGGUUGUCAUGCCAAUGGCACUGCCCGGUAGCUAAAUGCGGAAGAGAUAAGUGCUGAAAGCAUCUAAGCACGAAACUUGCCCCGAGAUGAGUUCUCCCUGACCCUUUAAGGGUCCUGAAGGAACGUUGAAGACGACGACGUUGAUAGGCCGGGUGUGUAAGCGCAGCGAUGCGUUGAGCUAACCGGUACUAAUGAACCGUGAGGCUUAACCUU
Molecule: ribosomal RNA, 2903 nt
Filed under: Escherichia coli
Lineage: Bacteria; Pseudomonadati; Pseudomonadota; Gammaproteobacteria; Enterobacterales; Enterobacteriaceae
Description: bacterial LSU rRNA
Rfam family: Bacterial large subunit ribosomal RNA
Source: RNAcentral